AUACCCUAUUAUUUUUAAUGUAAAAGUUUAAGCCGGAGUAGUAUUAGUUAUGAUCUUUAAACUUAAAGAAUUUGGCGGUAUUAUAGUCUAUUUAGAGGAAUCUGUUAUGUAAUCGAUAGUCCGCGUUGAACCUUACUUAUAUAAAUUCUUGUAUACCGCUGUUUAGUGAAUAUACUUUUAGGUUAUUUUCUGAAUAAAUUAAUAAUUAGGAUUUCAAGUCAAGGUGCAGUAAUAUAUAAGAUAAAUAAUGGAUUACAAUAAAUUAUAUUUAUACGGAUAUUUUUUGUUAAAAGAGUUUGAAGGUGGAUUUAAUUGUAAUUUUUUGAAGAUUAUUUUAAUGAUUAUAGCUCUAUAAUAUGUACACAUCGCCC
This 371-nucleotide ribosomal RNA is filed under the name Bolbena sp. MN292. RNAcentral's name for it is "partial 12S ribosomal RNA". Lineage: Eukaryota; Metazoa; Arthropoda; Insecta; Mantodea; Nanomantidae. The record is from RNAcentral.